Molecule: long non-coding RNA, 8042 nt
Filed under: Gossypium barbadense (sea-island cotton)
Lineage: Eukaryota; Viridiplantae; Streptophyta; Magnoliopsida; Malvales; Malvaceae
Description: long non-coding RNA (GBAR_LNC001691)
Source: RNAcentral
CGGAAGCUUUGCUUGUUGUCGUGUUAUUUUGAAAUCAACUGUUGUUUUUGAAAACGCGCCCUAAAGCUAUCCAAUUUCAACAGUUAAAAUAAGUAUUACCUAUCUUAGUAAUACAUAUUAAAAACCAUCAAAAAUAAAUAAGCUGCCUUAUUACAUUUAAAAGCCCAAAACCUCAAACGUAAUUAAAAGGAUGACAAGUUCACCAGAAGAAAAUCAAACUUUCAGAACGGGUGGCCACUCCGAAUUCCCUCACAGCUCCAAGCCCACUAUGGUUGGGGAUUACCUGCGUGGAUGAAAAUAAAAGGGAUAAGUUUGGGGAAACUCAGUGUAUAAAAUAACCCAACCAUAGUCUAAAUCAGCUCAACCCACAGAAACAGAAUAAGUUGGCCUUAGCCCAGAACAGAAUUCAGAAUAAAGCCCAUAUGCCCAUAACAGAACAGAACAGAUAUUACAUGUUUAUGCAGAAACCCAACCAUAUCCAACCGUAUACACCCCCGUACCAACCUUACACCGUGUGGGGAGACAACUCGACUCACCCAACCGCUACACACCACAGAAUUUGCAGCAUGGCUGCCAGAACAGAUAAUGUGACAGAGUCACCAGAUACAGAUAAUCGUGGCAGAGCCACCAGAACAGAUAUAUGUGGCAGAGCCACCAGAUCAGAUAUUUGUGGCAUAGCCACCAGAACGGUUCCUCCAUAAUAUAACCCAUGUCCCCAUGCAACAAAUACAUAAUCAUGGCAUCCAUCAUACAGAAUCAGAUCGCUAUGCUUUUCAGUCAAAAUUAACCCUACGGGUAUAACAGUAAUUUUGCACCCAGGGGUAUAACAGUAAUUUUCCAUACAUAGGGGUAUUAUAGUAAUUUAGCUACUUUCAGGGUUUUCAUGCAUAUCCUAACUAUUUACGUACUAUCAGAACACUUACCGCGCAUACUUACCGAAUUGGGCCCGUUGGCCCAUGAACCCGAUCUUUGGCCCAUUAAGCCCAAAUUAUCAAAAUGUACGAAAUCGCGCGUACUGCAGUUUAUUACUUUAGAUUACCAAAUAUACAAACCCAACUAUUUUACGAGCAUUCGCACACUCGUAAAUUCCCAAAAUACUGACUUUUCGGCAUUUCGGCUUUUGUCAAUCUAGUCUAUGAGAGGGUGUCAGUUACACACUUGUUUGCGACGAUAUGCUGACGAGAUCCACACACGAACCGCCUACAAUUGGAUUACUAAAACGUUAAUCUAACUAUUCAAAUACAAACUACGUAUUAAACCCUUACAAUAUUCGGUCAACCACACCUACAGAUCAUAGUAAGCUUAUAAGAAAUCAAUAAGCAACUCAUUAACAAAUUUUUGUCAAUGUUUACCACAUAAUCAUAAUUUCACUGCAAGCUGUCUUUCUGAGCAACAGUCACUAAAUCAUUUAUAACUAGAGCUAAGAAACUCCAAAUCAAGUGCUGUUAAUUUUCCCUGAAAAUAGACUCAUAUAUCUUCUAUCCUUUAAAUUUUCAAAAUUUUUGGUUUGGCCAAUCAAUACCAGAUAUUUCUUAAAGUUUCCUAUGUUUCACUGUUUGACUAAUCUGACCACUCUUCAUUACGAAUCAAAUUUCUCAUUGUACAGAAUUAAAAAUAUGUUCUCGUUUAUUUCAUUUGAAACUAGACUCAACAAACUUUAAUUACAUAAUUUAUUCACCUUCUAACUCAUCUCCCAGAAUUUAUGGUGAUUUUCCAAAGUCACACUACUGCUGCUGUCCCAAGCAGAUUUAUUACCAAAUCACUCUUUCACACAUAACUUGCAUGCAUGUUAUUUAAACAUGUAUAUCACCAAUCAAUCAUCACAUAUCUAUGAUUUUACUUAAGUAUAAUCUCCAUUUCAUCAUUUUAAAGCACAACAUGUUAGCUGAUUUUUCCCUUUAACAUCUAAGGCACAUGCAUGCUCAUUUGUUUGGCUCAACUUCACCUAUCUUCCAUUUUUCAUCAAAAGAACAUGAAACAACAACCAUUUCCUUCAUUUUAAUUCAUGACUAAAUGCUCACAACACAACUAAAAAUCAAAAUAUACUUCAAGAGUUAAGGUAGAAUCAAGAAGAACUCAUGAACCUCAAAAUAGAAGUAAGGUACCAAGAACUUACCUUCAAUUUUCCUCCUCCUAAUGACCGAAUACUCAAGAGCUUUCUCCUCUCCUUUCUCUUCUCUAACUUUCAGCUAUGAUGAACAAAGAUGGACAAAACUUUAUUCUUUUCACCCCUUUUUCUUUUAAUAAAACUUCAUAUUUCAUCCAUUUAAUUCUUUAAUACAAAAGACAUGAAAUUCUUAUCAUGAAACAUUUACCUAACCCAUUAUCAUGAAACAUUUACCUAACCCAUUAUCAUGUAACAUUUACCUAACCUAUUAUCAUGGAACAUUUACCUAACCUAUUAUCAAUUUGUAUCAAUUUGUCUACAACAACAUGAUGGUUGGCCACUUCAUGUAAAAUGGGAGGUUUGUCAUGCAAAUCCUCCUAUUUUGCACUCCUAUUUAUUUGGCCACUUCAAUUUAGCCUAUAGCAUUUUCAAACAUUUUCACAUAGGUCCUAUUUCAUAAUUUCACUCCCUUUUUCUUAUGGAACAAAAAUUAACUAAAAUUACCGGGUUCUAUCUUAAGCUUGGGCCAUCUAGAGGCCCACUAACAUAAUUAAACCUAUGCCAACAUUCACAGGAUUCCCGAAAAUUGGGGCGUUACAACUCUACCCUCCUUAAAGAAAUUUCGUCCUCGAAAUUUACCUAAUCCAAACAGAUGAGGGUAUUGCUGUUGCAUCGUCUCUUCUGGCUCCCAAACUCAGAAGUUUCCCCUUCCUUAACUUGUUGAAAACGAGCGACCAAAGACUCAUCGUUCAACUGUUUUUCCUUAAUCUGAUCCACCAGGUUGGCCUCACUUGCAACUCAGCCAAUAGACUUCCAUCAUCAUACAGACUCAGACGAGCAAACAUUGCUCUCAGAUCAGAUACAGCUCUCCGACUUAGAGCAUCGGCUACCACAUUAGCCUUGCUUGGGUGAUACUCGAUCGAACAGUCAUAAUCCUUAAGCAACUCAAUCCAUCUCCUUUGCCUAAGGUUCAGCUCCUUCUGAGUCAACAAAUACUUAAGACUCUUAUGGUCAGUGUAUAUAAUACACCUUUCUCCGUACAAGUAAUGUAUCCAAAUCCUAAGUGCAAAUAUCACUGCUGCCAACUCUAAAUCAUGAGUCAAAUAGUUUCCUUCAUGGGGCUUAAGCUGUCGUGAUGCAUAUGCAACCACCUUACCCUCUUGCAUUAACACGUAGCCCAAACCCACGUGUGAUGCGUCACUAUACACACUAAAAUCCUUCCCAGACUCCGGCUGAAUCAACACAGGUGCUUUAGUCAGAACUUUCUUCAACUUCUCAAAAGCUUCCUGCUGCUUCUCAGUCUAUACAAACGGUACUCCUUUUCUUAUGAAUUUUGUCAGAGGUGCUGCCAUCACAGAAAAACCUUCUACAAACCUUCUGUAGUAUCCUGCCAGUCCUAGGAAACUUAGUAUUUCCGACACCGUCCUAGGUGGCUUCCAUUCCAAAAUUGCUUCAACCUUUCGAGGGUCCACCUUAAUCCCUUCGGCAGAGACCACAUGUCCUAAGAAGGUUACCUCCCUCAACCAAAAUUCACACUUGCUGAACUUCACAAAGAGUUCCUUCUCCCUUAAUACUUACAGCACUAUACGGAGAUGCUCAUCAUGUUUCGUUUCAGUUUUAGAAUAUACCAGGAUAUCGUCAAUAAAGACGACUACGAACUGAUCCAAAAAUGGUUGGAAUACACGAUUCAUCAGAUCCAUAAACGCUGUAGGAGCAUUCGUUAGUCCAAAUGGCAUAACCAGAAACUCGUAAUGACCAUACUGAGUCCUGAAUGUCAUCUUUUGGAUAUUUGCCUCCUUGACCCUUAACUGAUGAUAUCCAGAUCGAAGGUCGAUCUUGGAAAAUACAGAAGCUCCUCUAAGCUGGUCGAACAGAUCAUCAAUCCUUGGCAGCGGAUACUUAUUCUUAAUCGUCAGUUUGUUCAACUGGCGAUAAUUAAUGCACAUUCGCAUCGUACCAUCCUUCUUUUUCAUGAAUAGCACCGGUGCUCCCCAUGAAGACACGCUUGGCCUAAUAAAGCCCCUAUCCAACAACUCUUGAAUUUGAGCAUUUAACUCUACUAACUCCUUCGUGCCAUCCUAUACGGUGCGAUGGACACAGGCGCCGUUCCAGGCAACAAAUCUAUUCCAAACUCAACUUCUCGGUUCGGAGGUAAUCCUGGAAGCUCCUCCAGAAAAACAUCUUGGAGCUCUUUUACGGUCCUAACCUUAUCCACUGUCAGUCCCUCCUCUUCCGACUGACUUACAAAUGCCAAAUAGGCCUCACAACCUUUCCGAAUCCACGUCUCGACUCUUAAUACCGAUACCACAUUGAACAAAUAAUCCCUUCGCUCACCUAUCACCAUAACCUCCUCAUCCUUUGUGGUCCUUAACACCAUUCGUUUGACAGCACAAUCCAGAGUCACUUUAUGCUUAACAAGCCAGUCCAUUCCCAGAAUGAGAUCAAACUCUCCGAACGGUAACUCCAUCAGAUCUCCAGGGAAAAUCUUAUCUUGAGUUUCUAAGGGUACAUCCCUAUACAGUUUGUCUACCCUAACGGAGUGACUCAAAUGACUUAGUACAGAUAACCUACUCACAAUCUCCUCAGAGCAGUCCAAGUUGUCCAUAAUCCAUUCUGUGGCCUCCAACCAAUAUACUGCCACAUUCGGGACUAUACCAGACGCACCCCUAAAGAUCUCCGCUCCGUUGGCCCGGAGUCGUUCAGAAAUCGAUCCUCAAAUUUCGUUGCCCGAACUUGUCCCGGUAACCCUUUCCUAAACACGAAGCAUUGCCUGUGACAGGGCAUCAUCCUCGACAUCGCGGUCAUGAGACUCUACCUCUGUUGCCAGUGGUACCGGUGCAUCCACCGUCGGCAUAUGUCUCGAAGACGAAGAUCUCGCUCGAGCACUUCCUCGACUCCGUCCACGGCCUCUUGUACUCAUAUCGUAUUAUCUUGAUUACGAAUUUUUAUGCAUCAAUAAAUAUUCAAGUGUUUAUUACAGAUGUUUUAUGAAUCAGACAGUAGUUUAGAGUUUGUUUUCACAGAAUCGAAGUCUAGCUACAGUUUCAGUCUCUUAUCAGAUUUUCCUAUGGUUUCAGUAUCAUCCUAUCUAGAGUAUCCUAGAAGGAUUUUAGUACAGACAGAUAAUUCAGGAGAAUAUUCAGAAAAGUUCAGAGUAAUACUUACAGGCUUGGGCCGGAGAUUCGGAAUGCCACCUUCUAAAGAUCUAAAUUUUAAAAAUCGCGUUUUUCGCAAUCUUUAUAAUUUUUUUUGAAAAUCUUUGUUUUUUUUUGUAAACCCAUUCCACAGCCGAUUUGUUACAACCUAGGCUCUGAUACCACUAAAUGUAGCACCCCAAACCCAGCCCAGAAGUUAUGGCCGGAUUCGGCAUGCCACAUCAAAAACGUAAAAAAAAAUUUCAUUCUAAGUCCAGAAAAUCGUACUUGAUGUUCAAAAGAUUAAUUUCAUUAUAGGUUAAAGUGAAUGGAAGCUGUGCACCAGGUAGGAAACCAGAAAAGAGGUGGUGAGUCCAUCGGACUGCUUAAGUACCAAGCUCCAUUCGGAUCCAAUCCUAGACAUGCAUACUACAAUUGCCACACCUUAACGUCAUGGAUAUUUCUAGGAAACCGAUUUGAUUAAGUCAUUUUUAAGAAAAGUGAUUAAUUUUGGAAAAUACUUUCAUUGCGGAAGCUUUGCUUGUUGUCGUAUUAUUUUGAAAUCAACUGUUGUUUUUGAAAACGCGCCCUAAAGCUAUCCAAUUUCAACAGUUAAAAUAAGUAUUACCUAUCUUAGUAAUACAUAUUAAAAACCAUCAAAAAUAAAUAAGCGGCAUUAUUACAUUUAAAAGCCCAAAACCUCAAACGUAAUUAAAAGGAUGUCCAGUUCACCAGAAGAAAAUCAAACUUUCAGAACGGGUGGCCACUCCGAAUUCCCUCACAGCUCCAAGCCCACUAUGGUUGGGGAUUACCUGCGUGGAUGAAAAUAAAAGGGAUGAGUUUGGGGAAACUCAGUGUAUAAAAUAACCCAACCAUAGUCUAAAUCAGCUCAACCCACAGAAACAGAAUAAGUUAGCCUUAGCCCAGAACAGAAUUCAGAAUAAAGCCCAUAGGCCCAUAACAGAACAGAACAGAUAUUACAUGUUUAUGUAGAAACCCAACCAUAUCCAACCGUAUACACCCCCGUACCAACCUUACACCAUGUGGGGAGACAACUCGACCCACCCAACCGCUACACACCACAGAAUUUUCAGCAUGGGUGCCAGAACAGAUAAUGUGACAAAGUCACCAAAUACAAAUAAUCGUGGCAGAGCCACCAGAAUAGAUAUAUGUGGCAGAGCCACCAGAUCAGAUAUUUGUGGCAUAGCCACCAGAACGGUUCCUCCAUAAUAUAACCCAUGUCCCCAUGCAAUAAAUAUAUAAUCAUGGCAUCCAUCAUACAGAAUCAGAUCGCUAUGCUUUUCAGUCAAAAUUAACCCUACGGGUAUAACGGUAAUUUUACACCCAGGGGUAUAACAGUAAUUUUCCAUACAUAGGGGUAUUAUAGUAAUUUAGCUACUUUCAGGGUUUUCAUGCAUAUCCUAACUAUUUACGUACUAUCAGAACACUUACCGCGCAUACUUACCGAAUUGGGCCCGUUGGCCCAUGAACCCGAUCUUUGGCCCAUUAAGCCUAAAUUAUCAAAAUGUACGAAAUCGCGCGUACUGCAGUUUAUUACUUUAGAUUACCAAAUAUACAAACCCAACUAUUUUACGAGCAUUCGCACACUCGCAAAUUCCCAAAAUACCGACUUUUCAGCAUUUCGGCUUUUCGGCUUUUGCCAAUCUAGUCUAUGAGAGGGUGUCAGUUACACACCUGUUUGCGACGAUAUGCUGACGAGAUCCACACACGAACCGCCUACAAUUGGAUUACUAACACAUUAAUCUAACUAUUCAAAUACAAACUACGUAUUAAACCCUUACAAUAUUCGGUCAACCACACCUACAGAUCAUAGUAAGCUUAUAAGAAAUCAAUAAGCAACUCAUUAACAAAUUUUUGUCAAUAUUUACCACAUCAUCAUAAUUUCACUGCAAGCUGUCUUUUUGAGCAACAGUCACUAAAUCAUUUAUAACUGGAGCUACGAAACUCCAAAUCAAGUGCCGUUAAUUUUUCCUGAAAAUAGACUCAUAUAUCUUAUAUCCAUAAAAUUUUUAGAAUUUUUGGUUUGUCCAAUCAAUACCAGAUAUUUCUUAAAGUUUCCCGUGUUUCACUGUUUGACUAAUCUGAACACUCUUCAUUACGAAUCAAAUUUCUCAUUGUACAGAAUUCAAAAUAUGUUCUCGUUUAUUUCAUUUGAAACUAGACUCAACAAGCUUUAAUUACAUAAUUUAUUCACCUUCUAACUCAUCUCUCAAAAUUUAUGGUGAUUUUCCAAAGUCACGUUACUGCUGCUGUCCCAAGUAGAUUUAUUACCAAAUCACUCUUUCACACAUAACUUGCAUGCAUGUUAUUUAAACAUGUAUAUCACCAAUCAAUCAUCACAUAUCUAUGAUUUUACUUAAGUAUAAUCUCCAUUUCAUCAUUUUAAAGCACAACAUGUUAGCUGAUUUUUCCCUUUAACAUCUAAGGCACAUGCAUGCUCAUUUGUUUGUCUCAACUUCACCUAUCUUCCAUUUUUCAUCAAAAGAACAUGAAACAACAACCAUUUCCUUCAUUUUAAUUCAUGACUAAAUGCUCGCAACACAACUAAAAAUCAAAAUAUACUUCAAGAGUUAAGGUAGAAUCAAGAAGAACUCAUGAACCUCAAAAUAGAAGUAAGGUACCAAGAACUUGCCUUCAAUUUUCCUCCUCCUAAUGACCGAAUACUCAAGAGCUUUCUCCUCUCCUUUCUCUUCUCUAACUUUCAGCUAUGAUGAACAAAGAUGGACAAAACUUUGUUCUUUUCACCCCUUUUUCUUUUAAUAAAACUUCAUAUUUCAUCC